RNAcentral lists this non-coding RNA (23 nucleotides) under Arabidopsis thaliana (thale cress). Lineage: Eukaryota; Viridiplantae; Streptophyta; Magnoliopsida; Brassicales; Brassicaceae. The record is from RNAcentral.
AUCCCUACUCUCCAGAACCCUAA